Molecule: transfer RNA, 72 nt
Filed under: Camelus dromedarius (Arabian camel)
Lineage: Eukaryota; Metazoa; Chordata; Mammalia; Artiodactyla; Camelidae
Also listed under: 1 other name
Rfam family: tRNA
About the family: Transfer RNA (tRNA) molecules are approximately 80 nucleotides in length. Their secondary structure includes four short double-helical elements and three loops (D, anti-codon, and T loops).
Source: Rfam by way of RNAcentral
GAGGGUAUAGCUCAGUGGUAGAGCACAUGCUUAACAUGCAUGAGGUCCUGGUUCCAAACCCCAGUACCUCCA